AACCAUAGAAACCUGCGGAGUACCUGCGGAAGGAUCAUUAACCUUUCAAAUCAGGGUGCGGCGCGGCCCCCGAGGAGCGGAAACAAUCCUUGGGAGGUAUGCGGGGGCUUCGAGCCCCCCAUUUACGCACGCACGACUGCCAUCCUUACUUUACGAGCACCUUCUGUUCUCCCUCGGCGGGGCAACCUGCCGUUGGAACCGAAUAAACUCUUUUUGCAUCUAGCAUUACCUGUUCCGAAA
RNAcentral lists this unclassified non-coding RNA (240 nucleotides) under soil metagenome. Its description in RNAcentral is "partial contains 5.8S ribosomal RNA, internal transcribed spacer 2, and large subunit ribosomal RNA". The record is from RNAcentral.